AAGUAUUAAAGGCCCAGCCUGCCCAGUGAACUAGUUUUUAACGGCCGCGGUAUCCUAACCGUGCAAAGGUAGCGUAAUCACUUGUUUCCUAAUUAGAGACCAGUAUGAACGGCCACAUGAGGACCAAACUGUCUCAUACAACAAGUCAAUGAAACUGAGCCCUCAGUUAAAACGCUGAGAUAAGCCCAUAAGACGAGAAGACCCCGCGGAGCUUUAACCACCCUGCUACCAAACACACAAACCCUAACACCAGUACCCAGACAUAGCAGGCUGCUUUGAGUUGGGGCAACUAUGGAGCAAAACAAAACCUCCACGAACUAGGACUUUCCCCCCAUUACAGGCCCACAAGCCAAAAAUACUAACAUUUUGACCCAGUAAUACUGACCAUCGAACCAAGUUACCCCGGGGAUAACAGCGCUAUCCCCUCCAAGAGUCCACAUCACCGAGGGGGUUUACGACCUCGAUGUUGGAUCAGGGCCCCCAGGCGGUGCAGCCGCUGCCAAAGGUUCGUUUGUUCAAC
RNAcentral lists this ribosomal RNA (520 nucleotides) under Paroedura oviceps. RNAcentral describes it as "partial 16S ribosomal RNA". It matches the Rfam family "Bacterial large subunit ribosomal RNA", at positions 1841 to 2585 of the family's 2925-position model. Lineage: Eukaryota; Metazoa; Chordata; Lepidosauria; Squamata; Gekkonidae. The record is from RNAcentral.